CCCGGAGGCGGACUGGAGCCCCCCCGGACUGGAGCCCCCCCGGACUGGACCCCCGGAGGCCGACUGGACCCCCGGAGGCCGACUGGACCCCCGGAGGCGUGGACCAGAGGCUGAGGCUGGAAGGACCAGGUUGGACCAGGUACCGAAGCUGGAGACCAGAGAAAUGCCACACGGGAUCGGACCAGAGGGAACCUCAGAUGCAGAAGGUGUCGAGUGUGGCAGCUACACCUGGGAUUCCUGGCUGACGGAGGAGUCGUGCUGGAGGAGGUCCUGCCUGGUGGAGGCGGUCCAUCGUGGGGCAGAUGGAGCCUGACUCUAACGCCAGGACUCUGUGGCGUGGAGGAGCUGGGACUCCUGAGGACAGCCAGGACUCCACCAACAAGGAUUCCUCGACAUGAGCUGGACCAGAGAACCGCUGGUGGGGAGCCGUAGAUCUGGAGGAAGACCAUGACUCUACCAGCAAGUAUUCCAUAGGAAUUACAUAACAGGGUGGCCUUAAAGGGCAAACUACUGCUGUUACUACAAGUUAUGCCAAACGACAUGUUUAAUCAAAUGUUGUAGCCAGACCUCCGCCGUGUUUGUUACAGAC
Long non-coding RNA from Gadus chalcogrammus (walleye pollock), 589 nucleotides. RefSeq lists it as uncharacterized. The record is from RefSeq and is a predicted model, not a curated record. The transcript has 4 exons. NCBI's taxonomy places the organism in Eukaryota, Metazoa, Chordata, Actinopteri, Gadiformes, Gadidae.